Molecule: long non-coding RNA, 353 nt
Organism: Paramisgurnus dabryanus
Lineage: Eukaryota; Metazoa; Chordata; Actinopteri; Cypriniformes; Cobitidae
Source: RefSeq, a predicted model, not a curated record
UUUUUCUCUGCAUAAUCAUAGGAACCCAGGCAGUAGCAUCGUUUCACAAUGUUUCCAUCACCAUCAUCAGUGAAUGCCUUUGCCGUCCGUACCCUGAGAUUUCAGAUUUGCAGCAAAAAAAUUGACUUUCCCAUUUAUUGGAAUGCUGUGCAGGUUGUACCUUGCAGCCAUCCAUUACAAUGUCACCAAGCCGUAACAAAAGCAGGAGAGGGAAAGUACAAGGCUAUGUUCCCAAAACACACAAGUGACAUACCUUAUGUGGAGGAUGUGAUCAGGCUUGUGUUUGAUGAGGUAUUUGAAGAUAAGCUGAAGGAAACCCCGAUUCCAAUGGACCUGGCAUCACAGUUUGAGAG